GCUGGGUGUGGUGGCGGGCGCCUGUAAUCCCAGCUACUCGGGAGGCUGAGGCAGGAGAAUUGCUUGAACCCAGGUGGCAGAGGCUGCAGUGAGCCAAGAUCGCAUCACUGCACUCCAGCCUGGGUGACAGAGCGAGACUCCGUCUCAA
RNAcentral lists this non-coding RNA (148 nucleotides) under Chlorocebus sabaeus (green monkey). Lineage: Eukaryota; Metazoa; Chordata; Mammalia; Primates; Cercopithecidae. The record is from Rfam by way of RNAcentral.